Molecule: ribosomal RNA, 254 nt
Filed under: uncultured bacterium
Lineage: Bacteria
Description: partial 16S ribosomal RNA
Rfam family: Bacterial small subunit ribosomal RNA
Source: RNAcentral
UACGGAGGGGACUAGCGUUGUUCGGAAUUACUGGGCGUAAAGGGCGCGUAGGCAGUCAGCACAAGUCAGUUGUGAAAUCUCCGGGCUUAACUCGGAAAGGUCAACUGAUACUGUGCGACUAGAGUGCGGAAGGGGCAACUGGAAUUCUCGGUGUAGCGGUGAAAUGCGUAGAUAUCGAGAGGAACACCUGCGGCGAAGGCGGGUUGCUGGGCCGACACUGACGCUGAUGCGCGAAAGCCAGGGGAGCGAACGGG